Molecule: long non-coding RNA, 240 nt
Filed under: Phasianus colchicus (ring-necked pheasant)
Lineage: Eukaryota; Metazoa; Chordata; Aves; Galliformes; Phasianidae
Description: lncRNA (ENSPCLG00000000129.1)
Source: RNAcentral
CACUCCUGAUGAUGAGAUGUGACCUGUUUUAAUCACUGCUGUCCACUGUCAGGUGAAAGUUCUGAAACGCAGCCGUGAGAUGAAUAGCAAUGACACGUUUUGGGCACAGCAUUGCAAAAUCAGACUGCAAAAGACAGUGCUGGCAGAGACCAGCUCCAGUUGUUCAGAGCAGACCAAAAUUGAUGCGUUGCAAGAGUAGGACCUUUCUGAGUGCUGAGAUUGCACCUUUAAACAAUUUUC